GAUGAACGCUAGCGGCAGGCCUAAUACAUGCAAGUCGGACGGGAUUCAGGAGCUUGCUUCUGAUGAGAGUGGCGCACGGGUGCGUAACACGUAUGUAACCUACCUUCUCCUGGGGAGUGGCGGCUGAAAGAGGGAAUAAGACCCCAAUAAAUCAAAGCACCGCAUUGUGUAAGGAGGAAAUAUUUAAAGGGUAAAAAAGGGCAUGCGGAACAUUAGGCAGAUGGAGGGGGACCGGCCCACCAAGGCGCCGGAGCUUAUGGGAUGUGAGAGGGUGGCCCCCCACACUGGUACUGCGACCCGGACCAGACUCGUACGGGAGGCAGCAGUAAGGAAUACUGGUCAAUGGGCGGAAGCCUGAACCAGCCAUGCCGCGUGCAGGAAGCCGGCCCUACGGGUUGUAAACUGCUUUUAUACGGGAAUAAACCCAGAUACGUGUAUCUGGCUGAAUGUACUGUAAGAAUAAGGAUCGGCUAACUCCGUG
RNAcentral lists this ribosomal RNA (481 nucleotides) under uncultured bacterium. RNAcentral describes it as "partial 16S ribosomal RNA". It matches the Rfam family "Bacterial small subunit ribosomal RNA", at positions 28 to 507 of the family's 1533-position model. The record is from RNAcentral.